GCAUGCUNGCGGUGUGGGNCACUCNUCUUAACAUGCAAGUCGAACGAUGAAGCCCUUCGGGGUGGAUUAGUGGCGAACGGGUGAGUAACACGUGGGCAAUCUGCCCUUCACUCUGGGACAAGCCCUGGAAACGGGGUCUAAUACCGGAUAACACCUGCCUGGGCAUCUGGGUGGGUUAAAAGCUCCGGCGGUGAAGGAUGAGCCCGCGGCCUAUCAGCUUGUUGGUGAGGUAGUGGCUCACCAAGGCGACGACGGGUAGCCGGCCUGAGAGGGCGACCGGCCACACUGGGACUGAGACACGGCCCAGACUCCUACGGGAGGCAGCAGUGGGGAAUAUUGCACAAUGGGCGAAAGCCUGAUGCAGCGACGCCGCGUGAGGGAUGACGGCCUUCGGGUUGUAAACCUCUUUCAGCAGGGAAGAAGCGAGAGUGACGGUACCUGCAGAAGAAGCGCCGGCUAACUACGUGCCAGCAGCCGCGGUAAUACGUAGGGCGCAAGCGUUGUCCGGAAUUAUUGGGCGUAAAGAGCUCGUAGGCGGCUUGUCACGUCGGGUGUGAAAGCCCGGGGCUUAACCCCGGGUCUGCAUUCGAUACGGGCUAGCUAGAGUGUGGUAGGGGAGAUCGGAAUUCCUGGUGUAGCGGUGAAAUGCGCAGAUAUCAGGAGGAACACCGGUGGCGAANGCNGGAUCUCUGGGCCAUUACUGACGCUGAGGAGCGAAAGCGUGGGGAGCGAACAGGAUUAGAUACCCCUGGUAGUCCACGCCGUAAACGGUGGGAACUAGGUGUUGGCNACAUUUCACGUCGUCGGNGCCGCANUNACGCAUNANUUCCCCGCCUGGGGANACGGCCNCAGGCUNAAACUCAANGAAUUGACGGGGGCCCCCCAAACANNGAANNUNUGGNUUANUCCACCCACNCAAAANCUU
Molecule: ribosomal RNA, 925 nt
Filed under: Streptomyces sp. LK1333.1
Lineage: Bacteria; Bacillati; Actinomycetota; Actinomycetes; Kitasatosporales; Streptomycetaceae
Description: partial 16S ribosomal RNA
Rfam family: Bacterial small subunit ribosomal RNA
Source: RNAcentral